GUAAGAGGCUUAGCUAACUAACGGUUGAAAAACUGAGGAAAGUCCGCCCACCAUGAAGGUAAAACUUCAGCAGUCUGUAAAUAGAUUGUAAAAAGGUCACUCUACAUAGUAGAGAUCCUGAGAGGGAUGUUAAUGGCUCAGAAACGAAACCACCUUUGUUUAAGAUGAUGGUUGUGAAGUUUUUCGCGAGAAAAAUGAGUUAACCACCUGAUGUUUUCAAAGGAAAGGGUGAAACGGCGAAUACUGGCUGGUGCAAGUCUUUACGACGCUUAGUAAAAUGUUAGCACUGUGAUUACUCAAUGUACACAGAACAAAAGGCGGCUUAUUAGCCUCUUAC
Molecule: RNase P RNA, 337 nt
Filed under: Candidatus Woesearchaeota archaeon
Lineage: Archaea; Nanobdellati; Candidatus Woesearchaeota
Description: RNase P RNA component
Rfam family: Archaeal RNase P
About the family: Ribonuclease P (RNase P) is a ubiquitous endoribonuclease, found in archaea, bacteria and eukarya as well as chloroplasts and mitochondria. Its best characterised activity is the generation of mature 5'-ends of tRNAs by cleaving the 5'-leader elements of precursor-tRNAs.
Source: RNAcentral